AAACAGGACAGGUGCAGCAGAAAACUGAUGAGCAGCAUCUCAGUUCUUUCAUCCUAAAGGGUUGCUGAACAAUCAAAUUCAGCUGGCUACAGAAAUGAAGAUGGAAAGCCUGUGCUGCCUGGCUGUGGCCUUCGCCUUCUUCCUUUCCUCUCAAAACACUCUGGCUGCUGUAGACCAGAAGUGGCUUUCAGCUAUCGUACAAAACAUAAGGAAUAAGUAUGAACUGGGUGACUCUUACAGCUGGGCUGUAAAUAUUCCAGAGAACCUAGACCCUAGCAGACUGAUGGAAGUUCUUCAGGAUGACCCACCAGACACAGUGGCAAGAGCAGUUUCAAAGGGCGAAGUGUAUCAAGGCAAAAUAAUGAUUGCCACAGCACAGUCAGUCGCACUGUCCCAUGUUCUGGAGAACCUAAAAGUGAACAAAAAAAGCAGUCAGGGCAAUGCCAUCAUAAUCUAUUCUGAAGAAUACCCAAAUAUAAAUGACAAUGACAUUGCUGCCGACAUUAACAAAAUCAUUCAAAACUGGAGAAGUUAUGCUUUUGUAUUUUCUAAAGUAGCUUAUAUUGCUGAUGCUGGUAUACCUGAAAGAGCAGAACUUUUCAAACAGCAGGGGCUCUCAAAAUUCAGGCUUGAAAACAUAUUCCGUUGUUAUGAACCUGGUGGCUCUUUUCAAUGCACAAGCUGUAGCUCUGUUGGGAAUGUUGCAUAUCCAUGUGUUGCAGACACACUGUCAUCAAGUGAUGAGCAAGAUACACGUUUAGAAAAACGCACGCUGGAAGAAACAGAUAGUGAGGAAAACAAAGAAAGUACAGGAGCCGUUUGUAGGUUGAGAAGAGGAGGAAAGGCUAAGAAAGGUGGCAAGGUGGGAAAAGGAGGAAAGGCUAAAAAAGGUGGUAGGAAGGGAAAGGGAGGAAAGGCUAAAA
Molecule: RNA transcript, 923 nt
Organism: Fundulus heteroclitus (mummichog)
Lineage: Eukaryota; Metazoa; Chordata; Actinopteri; Cyprinodontiformes; Fundulidae
Exons: 4
Source: RefSeq, a predicted model, not a curated record